This 581-nucleotide ribosomal RNA is filed under the name Talaromyces funiculosus. RNAcentral describes it as "eukaryotic LSU rRNA". The stretch from base 209 to 362 matches the Rfam family "5.8S ribosomal RNA". The record is from RNAcentral. Lineage: Eukaryota; Fungi; Ascomycota; Eurotiomycetes; Eurotiales; Trichocomaceae.
UCCGUAGGUGAACCUGCGGAAGGAUCAUUACCGAGUGUGGGCCCUCGCGGCCCAACCUCCCACCCUUGUCUCUCUACACCUGUUGCUUUGGCGGGCCCACUGGGGCUCCCUGGUCGCCGGGGGACACCCGUCCCCGGGCCCGCGCCCGCCGAAGCGCUUCGUGAACCCUGAUGAAGAAGGGCUGUCUGAGUACUAUGAAAAUUGUCAAAACUUUCAACAAUGGAUCUCUUGGUUCCGGCAUCGAUGAAGAACGCAGCGAAAUGCGAUAAGUAAUGUGAAUUGCAGAAUUCCGUGAAUCAUCGAAUCUUUGAACGCACAUUGCGCCCCCUGGCAUUCCGGGGGGCAUGCCUGUCCGAGCGUCAUUUCUGCCCUCAAGCACGGCUUGUGUGUUGGGUGUGGUCCCCCCGGGGACCUGCCCGAAAGGCAGCGGCGACGUCCGUCUGGUCCUCGAGCGUAUGGGGCUCUGUCACUCGCUCGGGAAGGACCUGCGGGGGUUGGUCACCACCACAUUUUCCAUUAUGGUUGACCUCGGAUCAGGUAGGAGUUACCCGCUGAACUUAAGCAUAUCAAUAAGCGGAGGA